AAGACAUCUACUCUUCCUGCAGUACUUUAUAGGCAAUUGUGGGAUUUGUAAGAAGAACCAUGAUCAGCAUCUUCUUUUAUUGUGUGAUACCUGUAAACUACAUUACCAUCUUGGAUGUCUGGAUCCUCCUCUUACAAGGAUGCCAAGAAAGACCAAAAACAGUUAUUGGCAGUGCUCGGAAUGUGACCAGGCAGGGAGCAGUGACAUGGAAGCAGAUAUGGCCAUGGAAACCCUACCAGAUGGAACCAAACGAUCAAGGAGGCAGAUUAAGGAACCAGUGAAAUUUGUUCCACAGGAUGUGCCACCAGAACCCAAGAAGAUUCCGAUAAGAAACACGAGAACCAGAGGACGAAAACGAAGCUUCGUUCCUGAGGAAGAAAAACAUGAGGAAAGAGUUCCUAGAGAGAGAAGACAAAGACAGUCUGUGUUGCAAAAGAAGCCCAAGGCUGAAGAUUUAAGAACUGAAUGUGCAACUUGCAAGGGAACUGGAGACAAUGAAAAUCUUGUCAGAUACCCUUCAUGAGACCCAACUCUGCCACAGCUCAUCCUCGGAGGCAAUCCCGGAAACCUCUUUUAUAAGUGUGAUUUUAAAAAUGUGGAUUAAACUCUCGAUAGAGUACAUAAAGUAAAGGAGAACAGCUAUAUUGUCCUUUCUAUAAGCUUGUCACUGCAAAAAGUUGCCUUUUGCUUGUCAGGUUUGGAUAGAAUAUAAUUGAUUGGUUUGUUACUUGGACUAACAAGGCAGUAGAUUUGCCUGUGUGGAAUUUUUUUUCCUAUUUUUCUUCUUUUUGCUUUUUUUGCACUUAUCAGAAAUAUUUGAUGUGUGCAUUGUUGAAAAAUACUGGAUACAUGUCUUGUCAGAAUUGUCGUAUUAAGUAAUGUCUUUCCCUCUUGCUUCUUUGGCAAAUGUUGAUACACAGUGUUUGGACUUACUGAAGAGUUACUGAAGCCUGUGGGACUUAAUAAAUACAAUAUGCUACUCCCUGUUGUGAUUGAACAAUACAAAUAACAAACAAGAAAG
Molecule: long non-coding RNA, 1021 nt
Filed under: Homo sapiens (human)
Lineage: Eukaryota; Metazoa; Chordata; Mammalia; Primates; Hominidae
Description: long non-coding RNA NONHSAT211664.1
Source: RNAcentral